CAGUGCAAGUGUCCUUGUGCCCUGGUGCCUGAUAUCCAGCUCCGGCAGCCUAGAAAAUCAGUUAGGCUUUUCAGUCACAGCACCCUCUGUGACAAACGUGUGGAGCACCGCACGACUUCUUCAACCAGCUGGUUUUUCUGGCAUUCGAAUAAAAGUAAAAAUAGAAAACAAAGAGGGAGAAGAAAAGUGACAAGCUGAAACCUGCGAAGAGAAAGAGGACAAGAAAUGAACAAGUUGAUCUGGUCUUGAGGGAGGAGGAGGCACAGGAACACAGUAAAGGAACCUAUCUGAGGAGCUGCAGACAUGAACCAACAAAGCCAGAAGAGCCUGAAGCAAUACUGCAAGUGGGUGCUUUGGUACUGCUUUGAAGCAUCUUUCCAGACUCUGCAGUAGCCAAGGCCUGUGACUCCAGUCCCUGAGAAAGUACCAUCAGGAGCAAUACACAAAUUGCUUACCAAUAUGGAAAUCACCAUAAAGUAAUCAACUGCAACACAUUCUUUGACAUGAGAAGGGAAUUAGAAGAAAGGAUUGCUUCAAAGAGUUUGGUAGCACACUUUAUAUAAACCCCCCUUUUUUUAAUUAACAAAAUGGUUUGGAGUCAUUUUUCUACCACUAGGUAAUUAUGUGAGUGUGAUCUAUAAUCUUCCUCCUGAAAAUUGUUUAUGUCCUAAUUCCCAGGUCAAAUUGAUAGACACCUCUCAAACCACGUGAUAUGGUUUGGAUUUGUGUCCCUGACCUCUUAAGUCAAAUUGUAAUCCCCAAUGUUGGAGGAGGGACCUGGUGGGAGGUGAUUAUAUCAUGGGGGCGGAUUUCCCCCUUGCUAAUCUCAUGAUAGUGAUGAGCGAGUUCUCAUGAGAUCUUGUUGCUUAAAAGCGUGUAGCACCUCCCACUUCUAUCUCUUUCUCCUGCUCUACUUAUGUAAGAUGUGCCUGCUUUGCCUUUCGCCAUGAUUGUAAGUUUCCUGAGACCUCCCCAGCCAUUCUUCCUGUACAGCCUGCAUAACCAUGAGCCAAUUAAACCUCUUUUCUUUAUAAA
Molecule: long non-coding RNA, 1035 nt
Filed under: Homo sapiens (human)
Lineage: Eukaryota; Metazoa; Chordata; Mammalia; Primates; Hominidae
Description: HSALNT0313226
Source: RNAcentral